This 520-nucleotide ribosomal RNA is filed under the name uncultured bacterium. RNAcentral's name for it is "partial 16S ribosomal RNA". The record is from RNAcentral.
GGAGUUAGCCGGUGCUUCUUCUGUGAGUGAUGUCCUUCCUGCCGGCUAUUAACCCGCAGGCCUUCUUCCUCACUGAAAGUGCUUUACAACCCGAAGGCCUUCUUCACACACGCGGCAUGGCUGGAUCAGGGUUGCCCCCAUUGUCCAAUAUUCCCCACUGCUGCCUCCCGUAGGAGUCUGGGCCGUGUCUCAGUCCCAGUGUGGCUGAUCAUCCUCUCAGACCAGCUACGGAUCGUCGCCUUGGUGAGCCGUUACCUCACCAACCAGCUAAUCCGACAUAGGCUCAUCCGAUAGCGCGAGGCCCGAAGGUCCCCCGCUUUCCCCCGUAGGGCGUAUGCGGUAUUAGCCUGGGUUUCCCCAGGUUAUCCCCCACUACCGGGCAGAUUCCUAUGCAUUACUCACCCGUCCGCCGCUCGCCACCAGGGAGCAAGCUCCCCGUGCUGCCGCUCGACUUGCAUGUGUUAGGCCUGCCGCCAGCGUUCAAUCUGAGCCAGAAUCGAAACCUCGACGACGUAGCGGC